Molecule: long non-coding RNA, 3297 nt
Organism: Carassius auratus (goldfish)
Lineage: Eukaryota; Metazoa; Chordata; Actinopteri; Cypriniformes; Cyprinidae
Source: Ensembl
AUGUAUCUCUUCACAAAGAGAGCUUUCUCUUCCUCGUGCACCCAACACGGUGUCACUCGCCCUGUCUCAGGACAGUGCAGAGUCACAAGCAAUGAUUAUAAUGGCCUCUCGAGGGCGCGAGAGUGCCAACAGCACACUAUGCCCACCACGGGCCGCCCCCCAGCCAGUGCUUCUAACCUCGCGGGGGCGGGGCCCAGGUCAAAGUGCACCCAACACUGUGUCGCUCGCCCUGUCUCAGGACAAUGCAGAGUCACAAGCAAUGAUUAUAAUGGCCUCUCGAGGGCGCGAGAGUGCCAACAGCACACAAUGCCCGCCACGGGCCGCCCCCCAGCCGGUGCUUCUAAACUCGCGGGGGCGGGGCCCCGGUCAAAACAAGCCUUCAGUGGCUACAGUAGCCUUAGAGCUAACGCGUCCGCUGUGUCAUUUUCUGGACGCGUGGAAGGCUAUCCCAGGCAUUUCACCGUGGGUACUGGGAAUUAUUCAGCAAGGAUAUUCUCUUCAGUUCAAACGCAGACCUCCCCGAUUCAACGGCGUGGUCCCGUCACUGACUUUGCCCCACAACCUUUCAAUUCUGAGACAGGAAGUUUUCAGUCUGCUCGAGAAAGGAGCGAUAGAGCGUGUCCCUCCAAGCGAGCAGAGAAGCGUUUUUUACAGCCGCUACUUCGUGGUGCCAAAGAAGGGUGGAGGACUCCGUCCUAUUCUGGAUCUGAGACCCAUCAACCGAGCACUUCACAAACGCGCAUUCAGGAUGACAACACUAAAACAGAUCUUGAUGCAGGUAUGACCCGGGGACUGGUUCGCCUCAGUGGAUCUAAAAGAUGCGUACUUUCAUAUUCAAAUAGCGACGCACCACAGACGCUUCCUCAGGUUUGCUUUCGAAGGCACGGCUUAUCAGUAUUCAGUGCUUCCGUUUGGCCUGGCCCUGGCUCCCCGCACGUUUUCAAAGUGUGUGGACGCAGCGCUUUCUCCCCUCAGAUCGAGCGGAAUGCGCAUCUUGAAUUAUCUGGACGACUGGCUGAUUUUGGCCCACUCAAGAGAUGUGCUAAUCAGUCACGUGGAAAUGCUGCUCCGCCAUUUGGAUACGCUGGGACUGCGUGUAAAUAUGCAGAAGAGCGUGCUUUUACCGAGUCGGACUAUAACAUAUCUGGGAGUAUGUUUGGACUCGAUGGCGAUGCAAGCCCAUCUUUCUCGGAAGCGCAUGGAGACAAUCUCAUCGACUCUGCGCCGUUUCAGACCGGGCAGGUCGGUUUCACUGAGGGAUUUUCAGAGGCUUCUGGGUCUGAUGGCGGCGGCUUCUUCAGUGUGCCAUCUGGGUCUGUUACAUAUGCGACCACUACAGCUUUGGCUAAAAGCUCGAGUUCCCCCGAGGGCUUGGUCAUCGAGCCACAAACGAAUUACGGUCAAUCACAGUUGCGUCAGCACUCUGAGACCGUGGAACAGCACAGAUAUGUUCAGCGCAGGAGUUCCUUUGGGUUUAGUGACUCGGCGCACCGUGGUCUCGACGGACGCGUCAACUUCAGGCUGGGGAGCAGUGUGCCUGGGCGUACCUGCCUCAGGCCUGUGGUCGGAGUCACAGAGGACGUGGCACAUAAACCGUUUAGAAUUGGAAGCGGUUUUCCUCGCCCUGCAAGCCUUUCGGUCGAAGCUGGAGCGGCGGCAUGCACUGAUUCGAACCGACAACACGUCUGUGGUCUCGUACAUAAAUCGCCAGGGUGGCAUGCGGUCCAGAGCUCUAUUCAAUCGAGCAGUGAGUCUCUUGUUGUGGGCGGACCUACACUUUCUCUCCAUAAUAGCGGCGCACAUCCCCGGUAUCCUGAACCGCGGAGCAGACAUGCUUUCGAGGAACGGGAUUCCUCAAGGAGAGUGGAGGCUUCACCCAGGAUCAGUUCAAAUGAUUUGGGAUCGUUUCGGCAGGGCGGAAGUGGAUUUAUUCGCCACAAGCGAGAACACGCACUGUCAGACGUUUUUCUCGCUAUCUCACUCCCCUCUACCGGGAGAUGCUCUGACAUCGCGCUGGCCGGAAGCCAGGCUUUACGCGUUUCCUCCGGUGAAGAUUCUGCCUUUGGUUUUAUGCAAAAUCAGGGAGGAGAGAGCGUCAGUUAUACUCGUGGCCCCGAACUGGCCGAAUCAACCCUGGUUCGCGGACCUGAGAGAGUUAGUGAUGGCUCCCCCAUGGCAAAUCCCCCUCAGGAAGGACCUGCUGUCUCAAGCGAAUGGCACGAUAUGGCACCCCAGCCCCGAGCUGUGGAACCUUCAUGUGUGGCCACUGCGGGGACCUUAAACGAGCGGGACGCCCUGCACUCACGGGUGUUGAGUACGCUUACGGAGGCUCGCGCUCCAUCUACGAGACGCCUCUACGCUCUGAAGUGGGGAGUUUUCAAAAAAUGGUGUGAGAACAUUCAAAUCGACCUGGGGACCUGUUCCAUGUCGGAUGUUUUACGCUUUCUACAGCACAGAAUGGACUGCGGGAGUUUGCCGUCCACGCUUAAAGUGUAUGUGGCCGCUAUUGCCACUUUUCGUUCCCCGAUUGACGGGCAAUCGAUCGGUAAGCAUGGCCUGGUAAUCAGUUUUCUCAGGGGAGCGAGGAGAUUGUGUCCUUCACGGCCACCCUCCGUGCCGCCGUGGGAUUUAGCUCUAGUUUUGAGGGCUCUAGCUCUACCGCCGUUCGAGCCUUUAGCUUCUAUUGAGGUUAAGGAGCUUUCCCUGAAGACUGCCUUGCUUCUUGCUCUCGCCUCGUCGAAGCGCAUUGGAGACCUACAUGCAUUUUCGGUGAACGACGAUUGCAUCUGUUUCGGACCCGGCGACUGUAAUGUCACUCUCCGGCCGAGACCAGGUUACAUUCCGAAGUCUCUCAAUACACCUUUUAGAGCACAGGUUGUUUCACUGCCCGCCUUAUCUGCUGAGCCGUCAGCCUCGCACGAUGCUGUUGCUCAGAGCGCUGUUUGCCCUGUUAGGGCUCUGCGGAUGUAUAUGGACCGCUCAGCCACCUUUCGUCAGUCGGACCAGCUGUUCGUGUGCUUUGGUGGAUGUAAUAAGGGACGUGCUGUUUCAAAACAGAGACUUUCUCACUGGAUAGUGGACGCUAUCGCGUUGGCUUACAAAUGCCAAGGGAAGGAUUGUCCCCUCAACAUCAAAGCUCAUUCUGUGAGGGCUAUAUCUUCCUCCUGGGCCUGGGCUAGAGGUAUGUCUAUCCAGGAUUUAUGUCUUGCUGCUGGCUGGUCUUCCCAGAACACAUUCGCCAGGUUUUACAAGCUGGAUGUACCCUCUGUAGCGUCACAUGUACUUUCGGUGAGUUAA